CCCUUAGAUGUUCUGGGCCGCACGCGUGCCACACUGAGUGGAUCAGCGGGUCAGGUUGCGCGAAAGUGUUUCCUAAUCUUGAAAUCCGCUCGUGAUGGGGAUUGACGGUUGCAAUUUUCCGUCAUGAACGAGGAAUACCUUGUAAGCGCGGGUCAUCAUCCCGCGCUGAAUACGUCCCUGCCCUUUGUACACACCGCCCGUCGCUCCUACCGAUUGAGUGGUCCGGUGAGGCUUUGGGAUCUGAGCGGAAAGAGCGUUUCGCUGUUUCUGCUCGGAAAACUCAGUCGAACCUUAUCAUUUAGAGGAAGGAGAAGUCGUAACA
RNAcentral lists this ribosomal RNA (322 nucleotides) under uncultured eukaryote. RNAcentral describes it as "partial 18S ribosomal RNA". It matches the Rfam family "Eukaryotic small subunit ribosomal RNA", at positions 1470 to 1796 of the family's 1831-position model. The record is from RNAcentral.